Moniliophthora roreri is the source of this 72-nucleotide non-coding RNA. Lineage: Eukaryota; Fungi; Basidiomycota; Agaricomycetes; Agaricales; Marasmiaceae. The record is from Rfam.
UGCGAGAUAUUGUAAUGGUUAGCAUGAAAGCCUCAUUAGCUUACGGUUUAGGUUCAAGUCCUAAUCUCGCAA